This is a regulatory RNA element of 200 nucleotides. It matches the Rfam family "Baculoviridae Nucleocapsid Assembly essential Element". Rfam says of the family: Internal cis-element within the ac83 gene. The record is from Rfam.
CAUUUACAGCAUCGUAUAUUAACCAAUAUACUACAAUCGGACAUUUGUGCUAACCUAUAUACUACGAUGUACCAAAAAUAUACUACACUGGCACAGAAAUAUACUACAACUCCGCUACAAUAUAACUACACUCUCGUAAAACAACCUCGAAAUAUGGUAGUAUAUGCUAAAAAUAUACAAUUGAAAAACGCUACGAUUUC